AAAGACUCAGUCCUAACCUUACAGUUAGUUUUUGCUAGAUAUAUACAUGCAAGUAUCCGCGCCCCAGUGUAAAUGCCCUUAAUUCCUUACCAAGACAAGAGGAGCAGGUAUCAGGCACGCCCAUAAACUGCUGCAGCCCAAGACGCCUUGCUUAGCCACACCCCCACGGGUAUUCAGCAGUAAUUAACAUUAAGCAAUGAGUGCAAACUUGACUUAGUCAUAGCAUCCUCAUAGGGCUGGUAAAUCUUGUGCCAGCCACCGCGGUCACACAAGAAGCCCAAAUUAACUGUAUCACGGCGUAAAGAGUGGUACACGUACUAUCACUCAACCUAGGAUCAAAAUGUAACUAAGCUGUCAUAAGCCAAAGUUACAUCUAAAGUCACCAUUAAAGUUAUCCUAGCAAACCUGAAAGAUCAGACCCCACUAAAGCUAGGGCACAAACUGGGAUUAGAUACCCCACUAUGCCUAGCCCUAAAUCUUGGUACUUAACCCCACCAAAGUACCCGCCCGAGAACUACGAGCACAAACGCUUAAAACUCUAAGGACUUGGCGGUGCCCCAAACCCACCUAGAGGAGCCUGUUCUAUAAUCGAUAACCCACGCUACACCCAACCGCCUCUAGCCCAAAGCAGCCUACAUACCGCCGUCGCCAGCUCACCUCCACUGAGAGAGCAACAGUGAGCACAACAGCCCUUCCCGCUAGCAAGACAGGUCAAGGUAUAGCUUAUGGGGCGGAAGAAAUGGGCUACAUUUUCUACUGGUAGAAGACACGGAAAGAGAUAUGAAAUUAUCUCUAGAAGGCGGAUUUAGCAGUAAAGAGAGAUAAUAAAACCCCCUUUAAAUCGGCUCUGGGGCACGUACAUACCGCCCGUCACCCUCCUCACAAGCUACAAAUUCCAAUAACUAAUACCACCACAAGCUAAAGAUGAGGUAAGUCGUAACAAGGUAAGUGUACCGGAAGGUGCACUUAGAAUAU
Molecule: non-coding RNA, 975 nt
Filed under: Coccyzus americanus
Lineage: Eukaryota; Metazoa; Chordata; Aves; Cuculiformes; Coccyzidae
Description: partial 12S ribosomal RNA
Rfam family: Bacterial small subunit ribosomal RNA
Source: RNAcentral